RNAcentral lists this ribosomal RNA (675 nucleotides) under uncultured bacterium. RNAcentral describes it as "bacterial SSU rRNA". It matches the Rfam family "Bacterial small subunit ribosomal RNA", at positions 8 to 691 of the family's 1533-position model. The record is from RNAcentral.
AGAGUUUGAUCCUGGCUCAGGAUGAACGCUAGCGGCAGGCCUAAUACAUGCAAGUCGAACGGUGAUAGCAAUAUCAUAGUGGCGCACGGGUGCGUAACACGUAUGCAACCUACCUAUUAUUGGGGGAUAGCCUUUGGAAACGGAGAUUAAUACCGCAUAAUACGAUUGACUGGCAUCGGUUGAUUGUUAAAGCUUCGGCGAUAAUAGAUGGGCAUGCGUCCAAUUAGUUAGUUGGUUAGGUAACGGCUGACCAAGACGAUGAUUGGUAGGGGAUCUGAGAGGAUAAUCCCCCACACUGGCACUGAGAUACGGGCCAGACUCCUACGGGAGGCAGCAGUAGGGAAUAUUGGGCAAUGGGCGGAAGCCUGACCCAGCCAUGCCGCGUGCAGGAAGAAGGCGUUAUGCGUUGUAAACUGCUUUUUUAUAGGAAGAAGGAUCCCUUGCGAGGGAAGGUGACGGUACUAUAAGAAUAAGCACCGGCUAACUCCGUGCCAGCAGCCGCGGUAAUACGGAGGGUGCAAGCGUUGUCCGGAUUUAUUGGGUUUAAAGGGUGCGUAGGCGGUUUAUUAAGUCAGUGGUGAAAGACGGUCGCUCAACGAUUGCAGUGCCAUUGAUACUGGUAGACUUGAGUGAGAUUGAGGUAGCUGGAAUGGAUAGUGUAGCGGUGAAAUGCAU